Molecule: long non-coding RNA, 871 nt
Organism: Epinephelus fuscoguttatus (brown-marbled grouper)
Lineage: Eukaryota; Metazoa; Chordata; Actinopteri; Perciformes; Serranidae
Exons: 5
Source: RefSeq, a predicted model, not a curated record
AAGGAGUGCGUUCGUCAGUUAGCCGUUGCUAAGCACCAAAUUCCGAACGUGAGCUGUUGGGCAGUGACGUUACCUGCUGGUGGCGGACAGCAGUGAAAAUUUCUGGGACGUUGUGCAGCCAGUCAUUCUAAAGGAAGCUGAUGCUUAAGCAAAAUUCAAGGUUCACAGAUGAUAACACCCCAAUGUGGCCAAUCAAAACUUGAAAGGCAUGAAGCCCAAAUUCCUUUCAUGGCAACACAGGAACUUAAGUUGGCCCAUCACAGCAGCUGGAGAUGAAUCUAAAGAGAGGAACCCUGCUCAUGUUACACAGACCCUUCUGUCAAAGCAGAAUGUAUGUGACUGACUGGCAGUCAAGUAGGGAAGAAGAUGUGCAGCCACAGAAGGUCCUUAUCUUGUACCAGCAGCGAUUUCAUCAAGUGUGGGAAAUGGAAGAUCACAGUGGAGCAUCCGUCUCUGGGGAGAUUGUGCAACAGGGCCAGACACAACUUACAUCGGAGUACUGAUGCACCAGCUAACAGUCAGGAAGACACAUGCAUGGACACUUGUUGUCUCAAACGUAAACAAGGAUGGGGACAAUGAAUGGAGAUCAAUCCACACUAUGAUCAAGACGUUUUCCUCCCACUUAAAUGCCCUGUGCCUUUCCUAGAACUGUAAUUUGUUGACAUUUAACAUUGAGGGCACUCAGAGACAGAUAAGGUACAUCAAAGUAAUCUCUCAGCAAGGACCCUGGUUCCAUGCAAUGGAAAGUUACUAUUUGUGACUGACUGGAAAAUCUCACAUGCCUCCCUGGUAGUAGACCACCGGUCUAAGCUCACAAUAUGGGCGACUGACUCGCAGAGGAAUAAACAAAGUAGAUCCUAAUGGAUGAAUG